RNAcentral lists this small RNA (160 nucleotides) under Collinsella aerofaciens. RNAcentral's name for it is "Collinsella-1 RNA". It matches the Rfam family "Collinsella-1 RNA", at positions 38 to 196 of the family's 196-position model. RNAcentral also lists the same sequence under 1 other name. The record is from RNAcentral. Lineage: Bacteria; Bacillati; Actinomycetota; Coriobacteriia; Coriobacteriales; Coriobacteriaceae.
CGAUGUUGGUAGAUGUAAAUAAACGGUGGAGCGGCUGCAAAAGAUCCGCCUCGCUGGGUAAAAUCAGGAUGUGCCGCGGAACCCGCUCCUCAGCUACUCAAACUUCGGAGACGCGGGCAACGCAGGUGCUAAUGUCUAAAGGGCCGGCUGCAACCGGCCC